CCUACGGGAGGCAGCAGUGAGGAAUAUUGGUCAAUGGACGAGAGUCUGAACCAGCCAAGUAGCGUGAAGGAUGACUGCCCUAUGGGUUGUAAACUUCUUUUAUAUGGGAAUAAAAUGUUCCACGUGUGGGAUUUUGUAUGUACCAUAUGAAUAAGGAUCGGCUAACUCCGUGCCAGCAGCCGCGGUAAUACGGAGGAUCCGAGCGUUAUCCGGAUUUAUUGGGUUUAAGGGGAUCGUAGGUGGAUUGUUAAGUCAGUUGUGAAAGUUUGCGGCUCAACCGUAAAAUUGCAGUUGAAACUGGCAGUCUUGAGUACAGUAGAGGUGGGCGGAAUUCGUGGUGUAGCGGUGAAAUGCUUAGAUAUCACGAAGAACUCCGAUUGCGAAGGCAGUUCACUGGACUGCAACUGACACUGAGGCUCGAAAGUGUGGGUAUCAAACAGGAUUAGAUACCCCAGUAGUC
Molecule: ribosomal RNA, 460 nt
Filed under: uncultured bacterium
Lineage: Bacteria
Description: partial 16S ribosomal RNA
Rfam family: Bacterial small subunit ribosomal RNA
Source: RNAcentral